Long non-coding RNA from Thalassophryne amazonica, 122 nucleotides. RefSeq lists it as uncharacterized. The transcript has 3 exons. NCBI's taxonomy places the organism in Eukaryota, Metazoa, Chordata, Actinopteri, Batrachoidiformes, Batrachoididae. The record is from RefSeq and is a predicted model, not a curated record.
GGAAGGAAAGUAUUUGCCCCUCCUCCCUGAUUGUGCAAGUUCUCCUACUUAGAACGAUGAGAGAGGCCUGCAAUUUUCAACAGAGGUACACUUCAACUGUGAGAGACAAAAUGAGAAAAUAA